GCAUCAGUGGUGACUAACUUCAUUUGCUGUGAAGAGAUUUCUUUGAUCAGAAGCAGUACUAUGUGGGAUACCAUGAUGGUGGAUAAGGCAUUCUGUAAGAUGAUCAUUUUGAUGGAAGCAAUGCAUGCAGAGGAGGAAAAUCCAGAUCCAGAGUAAGGGAUAACUGCAGUAAGGACCAAACACGGCUCAUUCCAUGAAGAAAGAGGUCCAGUGUAACCAACCUGCUACCAGGUAACGUGUGAUGGACCCACUACGUCUGGGCCCUCCUAAGUUUUUAAUUCUCAAACUUGUCCACACUGAUCUUCUAGCAAUUGCAGUUCUGGUUUUCUAACUCUGGCCCUGGCUCCUGAGAAAGAGACUGCUCAUAGACUUCUGCUCCAACAUCCCUGAAAAAAUGCAGACCUGAUCAAUCACUUGACUGAACUCUACUUGAAACACAUGGACUUUGGUCAAAUAAGCAUUUGCCACUUGAUUUGUACAGCAUUCCAACAAACGUCCAACUCAAGUCUUCUCUUGAACCUGAUCUGCAAGGUUGUUUCUGAUGGAGUUUCGCUCUUGUUGCCCAGGCUGGAGUGCAAUGGCGUGAUCUCAGCUCACCGCACCCUCUGUCUUCCUGGUUCAAGCGAUUCUCCUGCCUCAGCCUCCUGAGUAGCUGGGAUUACAGGCAUGCGCCACCACGCCCAGGUAAUUUUGUAUUUUUAGUAAAGACAGAGUUUCUGCAUGUUGGGCAGGCUGGUCUAAAAUUACUAGAAAAAUAGAAGUAAUUUAUUAUAGCAAUUUAUUUAAGUUAUUCUUAUAUUUAAAAUACCAGCAGUUAAAUAUGCCUAGGAAAAUCUAAAUAAUGACCAUUGGUAUUGGAAGGAAAUUGGGGCAGUGUUUAACCUAAAGGGAUGACUAACAUCAGUAGAAUUUCAGUCACUGUGAUACCUGGGAAGGGAAGAGAAUUUUUUUGGGAGGUGCACGCAGUUGGCUUUUUUCAUGCUGUUUGAGUUAUAAUAAUCAAAUAAUUGUCUAAAUUGAGCAUGAAGGUUUUCUUACUUCUAUAUGUUCAAUAGUGUAUUGAAAUUUAAAAAUUUAUGUAAAACAGAAUUUAAGGAGUCUAUUUGCAAAUCUUAGAAUCCCUAAUAGAUUUUAACUUCUCUGAGAGCAGGGGCUAUGCCUUUUACAGCUUUAUUUCUCAGUACUAUAUAGUAGAAAUUUUAUAUACUUACUUAUAGUUAAUAUCAUUAACAUAUUUGAUAGUAGAUAUUUAAUAAAGAUUAGUAGAUUGGAUAUGUUGAUGUAUUUUUAAAAUUUAGUCUGUUUUGAAGCAGAGUCUGACUCUGUUGCCCAGGCUGGAGUGCAUGGCGUGAUCAUGGCUUACUGCAAUCUCUGCCUCCUGUAUUCAAGCGAUUCUCAUGCCUCAGCCUCCUGAGUAGUUGGGAUUACAGGCAUGUGCCGCUUUGGCAUGGCUAAUUUUUGUGUUUUUAGUAGAGAUGGGGUUUUGCCAUGAUGGCCAGGCUGGUCUCGAACUCCUGGCCUCAAGCAAUCCACCCGUCUCGGCCUCCCAAAGUGCUGGGAUUAUAGGCGUGAGCCACAGCACCUGGCCAGAUAUAUUUUAAAAAUUUAGAUACAAACAUACUAUUAUAUGGGUGAGAGC
This is a long non-coding RNA of Papio anubis (olive baboon), 1639 nucleotides long. Lineage: Eukaryota; Metazoa; Chordata; Mammalia; Primates; Cercopithecidae. The record is from Ensembl.